GUCUACUAGUUGUCGGGUCUUAUUGGACUUGGUAACGCAGCUAACGCGUGAAGUAGACCGCCUGGGGAGUACGGUCGCAAGAUUAAAACUCAAAGGAAUUGACGGGGACCCGCACAAGCGGUGGAUGAUGUGGAUUAAUUCGAUGCAACGCGAAAAACCUUACCUACCCUUGACAUGUACAGAAUCCCGAAGAGAUUUGGGAGUGUUCGAAAGAAAACUGUAACACAGGUGCUGCAUGGCUGUCGUCAGCUCGUGUCGUGAGAUGUUGGGUUAAGUCCCGCAACGAGCGCAACCCUUGUCAUUAGUUGCUACGAAAGGGCACUCUAAUGAGACUGCCGGUGACAAACCGGAGGAAGGUGGGGAUGACGUCAAGUCCUCAUGGCCCUUAUGGGUAGGGCUUCACACGUCAUACAAUGGUACAUACAGAGGGCCGCCAACCCGCGAGGGGGAGCUAAUCCCAGAAAGUGUAUCGUAGUCCGGAUUGUAGUCUGCAACUCGACUACAUGAAGUUGGAAUCGCUAGUAAUCGCGGAUCAGCAUGUCGCGGUGAAUACGUUCCCGGGUCUUGCACACACCGCUCCGUCA
This 584-nucleotide ribosomal RNA is filed under the name Oxalobacteraceae bacterium. RNAcentral's name for it is "bacterial SSU rRNA". It matches the Rfam family "Bacterial small subunit ribosomal RNA", at positions 811 to 1399 of the family's 1533-position model. Lineage: Bacteria; Pseudomonadati; Pseudomonadota; Betaproteobacteria; Burkholderiales; Oxalobacteraceae. The record is from RNAcentral.